Ictidomys tridecemlineatus (thirteen-lined ground squirrel) is the source of this 71-nucleotide non-coding RNA. The record is from Rfam. Lineage: Eukaryota; Metazoa; Chordata; Mammalia; Rodentia; Sciuridae.
GGGGCUGGGGCUCCAUGGUAGAGCGCUUGCCUCACAUGUGUGAGACACUGAGUUCGAUUCUCAGCACCUCA